GUGCCAGCAGCCGCGGUAAUACGGAAGGUCCGGGCGUUAUCCGGAUUUAUUGGGUUUAAAGGGAGUGUAGGCGGUCUGUUAAGCGUGUUGUGAAAUUUAGGUGCUCAACAUUUAACUUGCAGCGCGAACUGUCAGACUUGAGUACACGCAGCGCAGGCGGAAUUCAUGGUGUAGCGGUGAAAUGCUUAGAUAUCAUGAGGAACUCCGAUCGCGAAGGCAGCCUGCGGGAGUGUUACUGACGCUUAAGCUCGAAGGUGCGGGUAUCGAACAGGAUUAGAUACCCUGGUAGUCCGCACAGUAAACGAUGGAUGCCCGCCGUUGGCGCCCUGCGCCUGCGGCCAAGCGAAAGCAUUAAGCAUCCCACCUGGGGAGUACGCCGGCAACGGUGAAACUCAAAUAAAUUGACGG
Molecule: ribosomal RNA, 408 nt
Filed under: uncultured Prevotella sp.
Lineage: Bacteria; Pseudomonadati; Bacteroidota; Bacteroidia; Bacteroidales; Prevotellaceae
Description: bacterial SSU rRNA
Rfam family: Bacterial small subunit ribosomal RNA
Source: RNAcentral